This 479-nucleotide ribosomal RNA is filed under the name uncultured bacterium. Its description in RNAcentral is "partial 16S ribosomal RNA". It matches the Rfam family "Bacterial small subunit ribosomal RNA", at positions 28 to 507 of the family's 1533-position model. The record is from RNAcentral.
GAUGAACGCUGGCGGCGUGCUUAAUACAUGCAAGUCGAACGAAGCACCUUGAUUCGAUUCUUCGGAUGAAGAUCUUGGUGACUGAGUGGCGGACGGGUGAGUAACGCGUGGGUAACCUGCCUCAUACAGGGGGAUAACAGUUAGAAAUGACUGCUAAUACCGCAUAAGACCACAGCACCGCAUGGUGCAGGGGUAAAAACUCCGGUGGUAUGAGAUGGACCCGCGUCUGAUUAGGUAGUUGGUGGGGUAACGGCCUACCAAGCCGACGAUCAGUAGCCGACCUGAGAGGGUGACCGGCCACAUUGGGACUGAGACACGGCCCAAACUCCUACGGGAGGCAGCAGUGGGGAAUAUUGCACAAUGGGGGAAACCCUGAUGCAGCGACGCCGCGUGAGCGAUGAAGUAUUUCGGUAUGUAAAGCUCUAUCAGCAGGGAAGAAAAUGACGGUACCUGACUAAGAAGCACCGGCUAAAUACGUG